This 430-nucleotide ribosomal RNA is filed under the name Verrucomicrobia bacterium SCGC AAA487-F13. RNAcentral describes it as "bacterial SSU rRNA". It matches the Rfam family "Bacterial small subunit ribosomal RNA", at positions 349 to 772 of the family's 1533-position model. Lineage: Bacteria; Pseudomonadati; Verrucomicrobiota. The record is from RNAcentral.
CACCAGUCGAGAAUUUUUCUCAAUGGGGGAAACCCUGAAGGAGCGACGCCGCGUGGAGGAUGAAGGUCUUCGGAUUGUAAACUCCUGUCAUGAGGGAGUAAGACAUCGCGUUAACUGCGUGGGUGUUUGAUAGUACCUCAAGAGGAAGAGACGGCUAACUCUGUGCCAGCAGCCGCGGUAAUACAGAGGUCUCAAGCGUUGUUCGGAUUCAUUGGGCGUAAAGGGUGCGUAGGCGGUUAGGUAAGUCAGACGUGAAAUUCCAGGGCUCAACCCUGGAACUGCGUUUGAUACUGCUUGACUAGAGUACUGGAGAGGAGACUGGAAUUCACGGUGUAGCAGUGAAAUGCGUAGAUAUCGUGAGGAAGACCAGUGGCGAAGGCGAGUCUCUGGACAGUAACUGACGCUGAGGCACGAAGGCUAGGGGAGCAAA